AAUUCAAUUUUAAUUCAGUUUUAUUUUUGUAGCGUUUUUAACAAUGAACAUUGUCUCAAAGCAGCUUUACAGAACAUAGGAAACAAAAAACAUACAAAGUCCUAGAUGUUAGACAAAAUCAUCCCUAGUGAGAAGCCUGAGGCGACUGUGGCAAGGAAAAACUCCCUUAGAUGGUAUGAGGAAGAAACCUUCAUGAUUAACCAGACUCAAAAGUGAACCGACCCUCAUUUGGGUGACAAUGGAGUAUGAUUAUAAAUUAUUCUAAACACCGGAGAGUGUGAUUAUAAAUUAUUCUAAACACCGGGGAGUGUGAUAUGAACAAUGUCCUUUCUGCAGUUAUGUACAGUCUACAGUGUGAUACAGAUACAGCAGAUGUAGAAUGUUAGUGUGUAUUAAUUAGGAGGUUGUUGUCAUCCUUGAAGUCCACAUAGGGUCAGCAGCGUUGCUUUGAUAUUCCCAAAUCCUCACGAAGCAGAACCCAGCUGGAGCUGGUCAUCUCUGGAUGCUUCAGGAUCCUCGCAGGGUUGGCCUCUGUCUACUGGAGCUGGUACAAUCUUCAGAUGCCUUGGGAUGGGUAGAAAAAGGAACAGCUGGAAAGGAAUUAGCGUAGCUGCUGUUCAUGAUAUUAGCAGCACUACAUGAUGAUGUGCAUUUGAUCAGAUGUACUGGAGUACGAGGUUAUGGGAUGAAUUAUGUGUAUGCCUGGAUAAAGAGAUAAUCUACGUUUAAACUGGGAGACUGGGAAACACUGUCAGGAAGACUAUCCUAAAGUUUAGGAGCUAAAUACGAAAACACCCUACCCCCUUUUGUAGACUUUAAUAUUCUGGGAACUACCAGAAGUCCAGAGUUUUGUGAUCUUAAAGAGCGUGAUGGAUUGUAGCGUGUUAGAAGACUGGAGAGAUAGGUGGGAGCUAAACCAUUUAGAGCAGGGGUAUUCAACUAAAAUUUAAGUUAGAGAAAAUUUCUUGAAGCAAAGGUCCAGAAGAUCAUAAUGUCUAACUAGUUAGUGUGCUAUAUAUUUAAGUAACCUAGUAGUUUUAUCAACAUCUGCAUGUAAUCAAUACCUGACUGUCAAAUCAAAUGAAUUCAGUACAAUUCAAAAACUUUCUGACAAUAUUUAUUGUCAUGUAACAUACAACUGAACAGAUAUGUAUGACUGUAGAUAUGUAUAAUGUUCUCUCAUUAACUAAAUAAAAGUAGGGCUGCAUUUCAUAAUAAGAGAAAAUAAAUAAAAUGUGAAAAUUGUGUGUUCAAAUAAAGUGCUUAACUUCAGAAAAAUAAAAUAAAGGGAGGAAAUCUUGAAUUUCCCCUUUUCUGUUUUACAUCUUGACUCAAAAGUCUCAACCAAUUUUACAAAUAAUAAAUCUUAACACAUCUUAACAGUUGAACAGUUUUAGAGUAUCACUUUCUUCCCCUCUUAUAUCCCACUCCCCCACUUUUUUGCUCAGUGAGAGAAUUGAGCUCUAGCUUGUGUUCCCAGGAUUUUAAACCUGGGCUUGAAUGGAGUCAGGGCAAUUCUCAUACACAUGUGGAGGUGCUCAUUGGUGAGCCUGGAACGAUAUUUAGUUUUGAUUAUGUUCAUUGUGGAGAAAGCUGCCUCGCAGUUGUAUGUGGAGCCAAACAUGGUCAAGAUGUACAGGGCUACUUUCCUUAGACCUGGGAAAGCUGUCUGAGGGACCAUUUGGAGCCAGAAAGUGGAAGGGUCAGUUCUUACAAACUGCUCUUUCAGGGCCACAUCUGCUUGGAGAUCAACCAAUUGCAUCUGGAGAGGCCCAGCAUUUACCCAUUUAAAGUGCUGUGUGACUUCCGUUGAGAACCCUCUGACAUCUGUGAUGAGAAAUGGGUUCUGAAUGAACAUGGUGAGCUGCUGUCCAAAGCUGAAGCUGUCAAAACGGUUGAUGAAGUUUACAAUCAGCUUAUCAAUAAAGUCAAGUCAACAAAAGAAGAGACAUCUCUCUGUCCCUGAACCUGUUCCUGCACUGCUGGGAAGUGUCUCCCUGCAGGUCUUCCUUGAACACCUCAAGUGUCCUCUGAAAGGAGUGGACACCUGACAAAUUGAAAUGUCCUUGCCCUGUAGCCUCAAAUUCAGUUCAUUCAGAUGUGAAGUGAUAUCAACCAAAAAGGCCACAUUAUCCAUCUGUUUCUCAUUUUCUAAAAAGAGAGAAAACUGUGUUGCUUUCUGACUUAUUAGCCCUGUCAAAAAAGAUGCUACUUCCCUCCUGAUGGACCAAAAGCGUGCUAACACCCUGCCUUUGCUGAGCCAUCUCACAUUGUUGUGCAGCAAAAGAUCAUCAGCAUUGGCAUUAACUUCUCUGAGGAAUUCCAUAAGCAUGUGAUGCUGGUAGGAAGAGGUUGCCCUGAGAAAACUGAUCAUUUUCAUCAUUGUAUUCAUCACCUCAGCAUGCUCAUCUGACAGGGAGGCACAGAGGACAGACUGAUGAAUGAUGCAGUGGUAAGCUAUAAGCUCAGGAUUGUCCUCUUUCAGUCUGGCUACAGCUCCUUUAUCUCUUCCUAUCAUAGCAGGGGCUCCAUCUGUGGCUAUUGAAACUACUUGUUUUGGCUUUAUUCCUCUCUUUGUUAACAUCUCCUUAAUGGCCAGGUAGAUGUCUUCUCCUCUUGUACUGGUCUGAAGGGGACUGACACCUAACAGGUCUUCACAGAAUGCUUUCUGGUCUGUGUUGAAAAACCGACAUACACUAACAGCUGAGCAUUGUCACACGUCAGUGGACUCAUCCACAGCUAAACCUACACAUGAUGCCUUAUGUAUGGCUUCAUCUAGCUGGGUUAGCACAGCUUGAGCUAAUAUUUCACUUUUCUUUGUGGCAGAUGAUGCUGACAUGGGAAUUCGCUUUAUUUUAUUACAAAGCUCUUCUUUUUGUUUUCCCUCAAGUAUUGUUUCAGCUACUGCACUCAUGCAUUCUUUGACAACCCCUCCAUCAGUAAAUGGCUUUUUGUGUUGACCCAAAAUCCAAGCAACUCUGAGGGAACACUGAAGAGCACGUUGUUGGGCAGUGAAUGUGUGGCUCAGGAUCCUGGUGGACUGGUCAUAUUGGGCUCUGAGACUACUUAUUUUCUGUGAUCUCACUUCAGAUCUGAGUGGGUAUGUUUGUUCAUAAUCUUUGUUUUGUCUCAUAAUGGCACUUUUAAUAAGUGCCACGGUUUCUGAACAUAUGAGACACACUGGUUUAGUGCUCCAGUGGGAAGUAUGAACAGAAACGAGUCCAUUCCCGAUUAAAUGCUCUAUUUUCGCGGUCCACUUUUCUUUUUUUGGAGGGCGCCAUUUAUUCCUUAUUUUUCUCUCCCUUUCUCCGUCUCACCCGUCUGUUUCUCUCCCUUUCUCCGUCUCACCCGUCUGUUUCUCUCCCUUUCUCCGUCUCACUCGUCUGUUUCCCUCCCUUUCUCCAUCUCACUCGUCUGUUUCUCUCCCUUUCUCCAUCUCACUCGUCUGUUUCUCUCCCUUUCUCCAUCUCACUCGUCUGUUUCUCUCCCUUUCUCCAUCUCACUCGUCUGUUUCUCUCCCUUUCUCCAUCUCACCCGUCUGUUUCUCUCCCUUUCUCCAUCUCACCCGUCUGUUUCUCUCCCUUUCUCCGUCUCACUCGUCUGUUUCUCUCCCUUUCUCCGUCUCACUCGUCUGUUUCCCUCCCUUUCUCCGUCUCACUCGUCUGUUUCUCUCCCUUUCUCCGUCUCACUCGCCUGUUUCUCUCCCUUUCCCCAUGUCACUCGUCUGUUUCUCUCCCUUUCUCCGUCUCACUCGUCUGUUUCUCUCCCUUUCUCCGUCUCACUCGUUUGUUUCCCUCCCUUUCUCCGUCUCACUCGUCUGUUUCUCUCCCUUUCUCCGUCUCACUCGUCUGUUUCCCUCCCUUUCUCCGUCUCACUCGUCUGUUUCUCUCCCUUUCUCCGUCUCACUCGUCUGUUUCUCUCCCUUUCUCCGUCUCACUCGUCUGUUUCCCUCCCUUUCUCCGUCUCACUCGUCUGUUUCUCUCCCUUUCUCCGUCUCACUCGUCUGUUUCCCUCCCUUUCUCCGUCUCACUCGUCUGUUUCUCUCCCUUUCUCCGUCUCACUCGUCUGUUUCUCUCCCUUUCUCCGUCUCACUCGUCUGUUUCUCUCCCUUUCUCCGUCUCACUCGUCUGUUUCUCUCCCUUUCUCCGUCUCACUCGUCUGUUUCUCUCCCUUUCUCCGUCUCACUCGCCUGUUUCUCUCUCUUUCUCCGUUUCAUUCGCCUGUUUCUCUCCCUUUCUCCGUUUCAUUCGCCUGUUUCUCUCCCUUUCUCCGUUUCAUUUGCCUGUUUCUCUCCCUUUCUCCGUUUCAUUCGCCUGUUUCUCUCCCUUUCUCCGUUUCAUUCGCCUGUUUCUCUCUCUUUGUUUUCUACAUGUAUUGCUAUCUUCCUUUUUCUUUCUACCGUCUUUUCAUGUGUAACUUGCCUCUAGCUCUCUUAUCUGUUUACACUGUAGAGUCGUAAUGUUUAUGUGGGAUGGCUUAACUCGCAUGCAGUUGGUCUGUGCGUUUCCACUACCACUAUCGUAAAGUCUACAAAAAGCUUUCUACAAAAGCUGCGCCGGGGGAAAUAGAAGCACCCCGUCAGGUUUUAAAUCAUAACCUUCUGUUUUGGCUGUAGGUCUGGGUCCGUAUGGGGCGGCUUCUGGGUCUGCACACGGACCGUGGUCCGCCUGUUAGUGACCUAUGAUUUAGAGCCUUGUACAUAUUACAGAGGGUGGAUGAUAACACCAGUGUGUCUUAUGAUGUGUCUUCAGGAGCAGCAGGAGGAGUCGUGUCUCCCAGGGAUUUUGUGAAUGUGCGCAGAGUGGAGAGGAAGCGGGAUUGCUACGUUUCUGCUGGAAUG
Hemibagrus wyckioides is the source of this 4840-nucleotide RNA transcript. It is a transcript of the gene named StAR-related lipid transfer (START) domain containing 3, with no coding region annotated. The transcript has 3 exons. The record is from RefSeq and is a predicted model, not a curated record. NCBI's taxonomy places the organism in Eukaryota, Metazoa, Chordata, Actinopteri, Siluriformes, Bagridae.